Molecule: long non-coding RNA, 2270 nt
Organism: Asparagus officinalis (garden asparagus)
Lineage: Eukaryota; Viridiplantae; Streptophyta; Magnoliopsida; Asparagales; Asparagaceae
Exons: 2
Source: RefSeq, a predicted model, not a curated record
UAAGAUAGAAUGUUUGAAAGAUAUUACUUUGGUUUCUAAACUUUUUCUUCUAUUUCUUUUGUGUGCAACUUGUUACGGUGUACCAAAUCUAGGUUGCAGUCUAGCUGAUCAUAAUUCUUGGAAUCCCUUAUCAAACUGUGAUUUAGGAACUAUUGGAUCUAGCACUGUCAAACAAAAAGUUCUGUGCAGUAUGUUUGUUCAAUUAUUUGAAGGUCUUGUAUGUUUUGUUAUUACUUAAGAUACGAAGGUGCUAAUAAAUAAUUGAUAUUUGGAUUCAAAGUAUGAAAAUUUAAUGAUAUGUGCGGUCUGUUUUUAAUAAUUCUAUAAGAUUUUGGCUUAUUGGUUAUCUUCUCAUUUUCCCAACAUUUUUCUUGUUUCAUUUCUCUUAGUUUCUGUUCACUCUUCGUUUUUAGUGAAACAAAAUUUUGGAUUGAUUGUAAUUUGAAGCUCUAGGGAGGUUAUGACAUAUGCCAAAUGACUGCGAGACUAAGUAGAGGUGGAAGCAUGACUUGUUUUUAUAUUCAAUGUUCUUCCUCUGAUAAAAACCAAAGCUGGAGGAGAAGCAUUCUUGUUGAUGGUUACAAAUACACACUACUAAAACCAAUUACUUUACUGCCUGAAAAAAUAAAAGAAAAAUCUUCUCAUCCACAGCCAGACAUGCCAACCACGACCAAGUGUUUUACAAGCACUGAUAUUUGCAAUAUUUCGGUUAAAGAAGGUUAUUGUAUAAAUGAGGAAGAUGAGGAACAUUGAUAAAUGCUUAUUAACUCUCCUCAUGUUCCUGUGUCCCUAUUUGUUUUUCUUUAGUGCUAUGGCACUACACAAACACAAAGAGGAACACAAGGAUAGUUAGUAAGCGUUUAAAGAGAAGUUCACAAGUUCAAGACACAUCACCUUGUACUAGAAGAACUUACUGUAUGUUCUGAUUUCAAGGUGUCACAAAUCAAAUUAGUUAUGCUUUUAUGUAAACAUUUAUAUGGACAUCUUUGUAGCACUGAUAACCUUUUUAUGUGACUGUCCUUUUUGACAUUCUUGCUCAAGUUUUCUGAAAUUCAUUAUCUAUGCUCAAUCUGUUCAUUACUCUCAUUCCAGGAUUACUUCUCAAAGUGGGGAGAGAGUGGUACAGUGGACCUAAAAUAUGAACCCUUAAGUUCACGCGACAAAACUAGUGUUAACGAACAGACACCCGCAUGCAUCACAUGGGAUCUAUGUUUGUGUAAAAUAUAAAUCAUUAAAUGUAGGUGCUUUGUUGCAUGAUUGGGUCAAAGAUUUCAUAAAUUUCUAGUGUACAUUUGUCAACACCACAAUUACAGAUAGCUCAUUAGAAAGAUAAACUGUUUGCAAUUUAAAGGAAAUGAUGAUAGAUUAUUAGCUAUCCUUCUGUUUAGUAUUUCCUUUUUUGAGUUCAGUAUCAUAUUUUAGCAAGCAAACAGAUUACUAUUAUGGACCGUCAUAGCAUAUUUGUGUCUUGAUCAGUGGCGAAUAUAAAUAUCCCUGUUUCCAGUUUAUUCUUAAUCAGAGAAAUCAAUAUCCAAAUCAAGAUCCUAGGCCACCAAUUCGGUGUUGAUGUAGACGAUUGAUGUCAACUUUGUUAAUUCUUCCAUAGACCUUUGAACCUGGUUGCCAAAACCCCUUUGAUAAGCAAUGGUGGUGAUAAUGAUAUGUUGGGAAUAUAGUAUUGAAAAUAUAGGCUUACCCCCAGCAGUAAACAACAUCAUUCAUUUCCACAAAACACAAUAAAUCUUCACUAAUUUAUGCUUUUGAGUAAGAUGAAAACAUAAAUAAUAUUCAUGCACCGCGUAGAUCAUUUUUAUUUAAUUGACUUACAACUUUCUGCCACAUGAUGUUCUAACAGGUGCAUAUAUUUAAUUUCUCAGGUUGGUUUUGUCACCUUCUUCCUAAAUUCUGUCCUUGAUAAUCUAACAUCAACAAUUGUCAUGGUCUCCUUGUUGUGAAAACUAGUGCCUCCAUCAGAAUACAGAAAGACUCAAUAAAUUCUUCGAGAUAUGAAGUUGGACACAUUGGAGAGAAAGGAGGAGAAGACUUGAAGGAUAAAUAGAGGAUUCUAGAUAUGGUUUCUUUUAAUAGUUUAUGUUGUGGUAAUUUGACUUGUUGUAGCAAAUCAUGAUUAUCAGCUAUCUAUAGCAUGUUGUAUUUUAAAUGAAGGCUUAUUGUGUAGCCUAGAGUUUCUUAUGAGGAUCUUUUGCGAAACUCUUUUGUGUCUUCAGCCUUUUUAUCAUGACUAGUUAUUGGAGUAAUAUUUUUGUUCU